AUCAACUUUCGAUGGUAGGAUAGAGGCCUACCAUGGUGGUAACGGGUAACGGGUGUUAGGGCACGACACCGGAGAGGGAGCCUGAGAAACGGCUACCACAUCCAAGGAUGGCAGCAGGCGCGCAAAUUACCCAAUCCCGACACGGGGAGGUAGUGACAAUAAAUAACAAUACGGGGUUCUUUCGGAUCUCGUAAUUGGAAUGAGUACAAUUUAAAUCUCUUAACGAGGAACAAUUGGAGGGUAAGUCUGGUGCCAGCAGCCGCGGUAAUUCCAGCUCCAAUAGCGUAUAUUAAAGUUGUUGCAGUUAAAAAGCUCGUAGUUGAAUUUCGGGGUUAGUAGGUUGGUCAUGCCUCUGGUAUGUACUGGUCUCACUGAUUCCUCCUUCCUGAUGAACCGUAAUGCCAUUAAUUUGGUGUUGCGGGGAGUUUGGACUGUUACUUUGAAAAAAUUAGAGUGUUUAAAGCAAGCUAACGCUUGAAUACAUUAGCAUGGAAUAAUGAAAUAGGACGUUCGAUCCUAUUUUGUUGGUUUCUAGGAUUGACGUAAUGAUUAAUAGGGAUAGUUGGGGGCAUUAGUAUUCAAUUGUCAGAGGUGAAAUUCUUGGAUUUAUUGAAGACUAACUACUGCGAAAGCAUUUGCCAGGAUGUUUUCAUUAAUCAAGAACGAAAGUUAGGGGAUCGAAGACGAUCAGAUACCGUCGUAGUCUUAACCAUAAACUAUGCCGACUGGGAAUCAGACAAAGUUCAUUUUUUAACGACUUGUUUG
This 765-nucleotide ribosomal RNA is filed under the name Rhizophagus sp. (in: glomeromycetes). RNAcentral's name for it is "SSU rRNA". It matches the Rfam family "Eukaryotic small subunit ribosomal RNA", at positions 314 to 1082 of the family's 1831-position model. The record is from RNAcentral. Lineage: Eukaryota; Fungi; Glomeromycota; Glomeromycetes; Glomerales; Glomeraceae.